This 253-nucleotide ribosomal RNA is filed under the name uncultured bacterium. RNAcentral describes it as "partial 16S ribosomal RNA". It matches the Rfam family "Bacterial small subunit ribosomal RNA", at positions 524 to 776 of the family's 1533-position model. The record is from RNAcentral.
UACAGAGGUCCCAAGCGUUGUUCGGAUUCACUGGGCGUAAAGGGUGCGUAGGCGGUCGGGUAAGUCUGGCGUGAAAUCUCCAAGCCUAACUUGGAAACUGCGUUGGAUACUAUCCGGCUCGAGGAAUGGAGGGGAGACUGGAAUACUUGGUGUAGCGGUGAAAUGCGCAGAUAUCAGGAGGAACACCGGUGGCGAAGGCGGGUCUCUGGGCCGAUACUGACGCUGAGGAGCGAAAGCGUGGGGAGCGAACAGG